AUACGGAGGAUGCAAGCGUUAUCCGGAUUUAUUGGGUUUAAAGGGUGCGUAGGCUGUUUUCCAAGUCAGCGGUGAAAUGCCGGGGCUCAACCCCGGAACUGCCAUUGAUACUGGGAGGCUUGAAUGCGGAUGCCGUGGGAGGAAUGAGUAGUGUAGCGGUGAAAUGCAUAGAUAUUACUCAGAACACCGAUGGCGAAGGCAUCGGACGAAUCCGUCACUGACGCUGAGGCACGAAAGCGUGGGGAUAGAACAGGAUUAGAUACCCUGGUAUUCCACGCCGUAAACGAUGAUGACUAACCGUCGGCGAUAGACAGCCGGUGGCCAAGCGAAAGCGAUAAGUCAUCCACCUGGGGGGUACGUCGGCAACGAUGAAACUCAAAGGAAUUGACGGGG
RNAcentral lists this ribosomal RNA (393 nucleotides) under uncultured bacterium. Its description in RNAcentral is "partial 16S ribosomal RNA". It matches the Rfam family "Bacterial small subunit ribosomal RNA", at positions 523 to 918 of the family's 1533-position model. The record is from RNAcentral.